UACCGCCUGCGCCCACAGUCGUUCGCCUAGAGCGCCCCUGGCCGAAUUCUAGGCUUUCCUGGGGGCAGCAGCACCCCUACUUCGCCCUGGGGAACCCGAGUCCUGAUCUGGAGCCCCUCGCCCCCAGGAGACCUCUGCUCCCUUUGCCAUCGCCCUGUUCACCUGUGUGCCCUCUAAGCCCUGCAGAGAGACUGGGAGUACGGUGACAAGCCAUCCAGACACAGAACAAGAGGAAGGGGCUGCUAACAGCAGGUACCUGCGGUCUAGUGUGGUCCAGAAGCAGAAGGUCCUGCUUCUGAUAUAUCGUCCAAAGGUCAGUGGUAGCCUAAAGCUACAUGAC
Molecule: long non-coding RNA, 340 nt
Filed under: Ursus americanus (American black bear)
Lineage: Eukaryota; Metazoa; Chordata; Mammalia; Carnivora; Ursidae
Description: lncRNA (ENSUAMG00000015519.1)
Source: RNAcentral